UCCGGUGACAUAUAUUAUACACAAUUUAUUCACAUCAUCCCGAACGUUAUCAUAUUGGCGUUAUCAAGGUCUAAUGCCAUAUCUGAUAACAAUCAUUCAUAAUUUAUCAUAAAACAAUCAGAUUUAAUUUUUAUGUGACAUUGUAUCCUCACUGCCAAACUGAUGCACUUGUUCUGGAUUUUCCCAGUCCUGGAAAUUUAGAUUUAACCGAUUCAAGAAAAUAAAAGACUAUAUUUUUAUAUAAUUUACCUCUCGAAGCAUUUUACUAAGCAGCAACUUGGAGAAAGAAACCUUGUUUCUUCCUCCUGGCUCCUUCCUCACUACCUCUCCCGGUUGAUCUGAUUAUUUUUCCCUUCACGUUUUGUCCCAAUAGCAAAUUACCAAUUCUAUGAAUUGCAAAGCAGCCUCAGAGACGCUGAGGGGUAGAGAGAGGGGGGGGGGAUGCGAAGAUUGAAAGGGAUCUUUGCAAACACAAUCACGUUCUUAAAUGGAAAUGCGGGGCUUUAAACAAAUCUUACAUCUCUCCCGUUCCAUUCGCCUAAAACUGUGCAAUCAGGCACAUGUUCCACUCCUUCUAAAACAGGAGCGUUUGGAAGGGUUUUCAGGCGCAACAGUCCCAUUUUAAUCAUUUACCUGAAAGCAAUGUUUUGCCUUUUUAUCUCUGCCGCGUGUUUGUUUGUUGUCAUCUUCCCAAUGCGACUAUUUUCUUUCUAUUUACAGGACGACUCAACUCUAGUGUUCAUUUUAAUCCGGGACUACAUGACUAAAAGAUUCUGCAAGGCUGAACAAUGAAGGCCACGACCCAAACAGGACACAGCAGGAGUGAGUCGACGUGUCUCACGUGUGUGUGUGUGUGCAAACAUGUUGCUUAGUAUGGAAAGUCUGUUGUUCAUGACUCUCUUUAUUUUAGAGAUGAGUAUGAACAAGCAUGACUUUGUGUGUGUGUGUGUGUGUGAGUGACUGAAACACUUACUCACUUACAGUAUGUAGACAAUAUGUUGUCAUUGUUGCAACUCCAUUUUUGGUGAAAUCCCACUUUCGUGGUUGUCAGAUUUUAUAUGAGAGAUUACAUGGCCCAAAAAUGCAUGUUCAUUUAGCAAAUAAGUCCUGUUUUAUUGAUAUGUUGACAAUCUGAAGUUUUCACCUGACAAAGCCACACUGUGCUACGCGGUUUUUAAGACUUUUUAAAAUUUGAGCCAUUUUCAUCAAUCUAAAUAGAUAUCUGCUUCAGUUUUUUAAAGUAUCAUUUUGAGCAUUUUCAUGCCUUUUAUUAAAGAAUUGAUGGUAGCGAGAUGUCAGGAAACAAGGGGAAAGAGAUGGGAGAUGAUAUGCAACAAAAGGCCCCAAUCAUUGCAGUUCGUGGUUGGCACCUUAAACUCUUAAGUCACAGGGGUGUUGAGUUCUGUUUUGUUUUAAUACAGUUUUUGUUGUUGCAGAAUUAAACUGUGAAUAAAGUUAACUUUAUUUGGUGAAGAACAUCUUCUUUGCACUUGGCUAAUUCAGGGUAGUUGUUUUGUUCCACAGGUAAGCCCUCUCAGGCCCUGACUUUCCUUUGGGGCAGCUGCUUAGUUUUAUCCCACUUAAUCGCUCUCUUGGCCAUGACACAACACAGCUACUCUCUCUCAUACACGCACACUUCAGACACACACACUCCAGAGAACUUCCACACUAAGGCCCCACCGCAAAGUUAUUAAUGAGCUGUUUAAUUUUAAUUAGAUAGUAAUUCAUGUUAAUGCCUGCUUAAUGGAGCCAAAUAAUUCCCCUCGGUCACUCUGGGUCUUUAUGCUUCGUUUACCAGCCCCUGCAGUUAUUCUCUGGCUUUUGUUUUUAUAUUACAUUUAUAAGUCAUUUUUUUCAAGCAGUGAGUGAAUGAUGAAACAGUAAAACAGGAAACAUAUGGGGUGAGUGAAGUGUGCAAGUGUGUGUGUGUGUGUGUGUGUGUGUGUUAGUAAAAGAGUGUCUGUGUAUCUGUGAGAGUGAAAGCUAGUAUUCACGUUUGUAUCCGUGUUCUUAUUAUUUAAAUUUCAUUUCUAUUUAAGUGCUUGUUUAAUCAACUGUGUUUUUGUCCAUGAAUGAAUGAAAAUUUAAAUACUAGGCCACACACACACACUGACUCUCUUAAUGCACAGGCCACUACAGUAAAUGCAUUUAGUCAGACCAAAGAAAAGGUCAAACUCCGUAUUGAACGCUAAGCAGGGUUAAACCCUCAGGUUGAAGUGCAGGUACUAAGACAUUUGCAGGAGAGAGGUUGUGACCUUUUUGGCCAGGCCUCAAGGUAAAUUGCUGCUGCCUCGUGUCACGUGUGCAUCCACUGCUCUGCUGCUUACCUAGGGGAGGAUUUGUUCGAGACACCCCCCUUGAGGUUCAAACAUCGGUAAGGCUGUGUAGGAGUGACCACACCAUCUCGGACCACAGUGUGUGUGUAUGUAAGGAGGAGCGGAGGGGUCAAUGCUGUUGAGUCUGUCUCGGUUCUGUCUGGGUGCCUCUGCUCUAACGGAGCACUAAGCUGAGUGGCUGAAUUGAGUUAGUGGCUACAGACAGGCUUUUAAUUGUUGAUUGACCAGUCUGAGUGCUUCCUGGGCUGGGGUCAUUGCAGAGAGCUGGCUGGGAGGUCCCCAGGCCCCAGCGGCAAUUUCAGCCACACACACCUAAGCUCCGCGGAGGGGCGGAAAGAAAUGGAGAGGAGGAUGGUGCAAAGGUACUUAGGACAUGGCGAGGGGGAUGGAUAAGAGCUGAGAGACUUCACAAAGUUAGAAAAUUUGUUGUGCUUUAUUCUUUUUUUCUACAUGAAGUUUGAUCUCAGGAUUUACAGGGGCCGUGCGAUUCAAGCAAACAAACACAUAUUGGCGACAGCGUUACAGACGCUGUGAGCAGAGGGGCUUUGAGGUCCACAGAUUAGCAAGUUCAAUGUUUACUCCUCCACAGAAUCUCAGGUCCUUCAUCUGACAAUUACAAAUUUACUUUGUACCCGUUCCAUUCACUUCUUUGCCCCUGCACUCCCUCCCUAUUUAUCCUCUCUUUUCUCUUCCCCUCUCAGCCCUCUUUCCUCUAAUUCUGCACGGGGCCACAAAAGCCCAUUCUGCUGUUUUAGCGGGUUAGCUCUUCUCUCCUCCCCUCUUCUCCUCCUCCUCCUCUCGGCUCACAGCAGGUGCCCGUCCUCGGCUAACAUUUGUUAUCUCUAAUCCUGCAGGUUCGGCGCACAAAAAGAGCGUAGUAAACUCUCUCUCAGACCUAAUCCCGCCACUCUUUUUUUGAUGGCGCUCCCCUCGCCCUCCUCUCCUCAUUCUCCCUUCACUAUCUCUCUUUUAGGCUGCUGGGGGGGGGAGACACUCUACUUCUCUGAUUGCCACAUAGCUUUUUAUCACCAUGGCCUUCAAUUUGGGGGCAGCUGUUGGAGGUGGGGGUAUCCCCCCCUCCGUUCUUUAUACCUUCAAUUCCAACUCUCUUUUUCCUUUCUCUCUCCCUCUGUCUCCUUUUUUUGCCCCCUUCUCCCUCUCUCUCUGUAUCAUUUACAGUCAUUUUCUGGCAAUUAAAAUGGAGCGCUGCUGCAGGAUUUUCGCCUGCAGUGCAACACUACAGUGCUGAUGAAUAAUUCUUCACCCUGCAAACUGGAAAGCUAGCCUUUCUUUCAUGUCGGCCCUUUGUUGAUUUACCAUUAAAACUUACUGCACCGUGCUAUGAGUGGAGGGCCCAGCUCUGCGGGAACUAACAAAAAGCAAAAAUGAGGAUGAAGCAGAUAUGUGUACAUAUGCUUUAGGGUCAUUUUUUUCAGCCUAGGAUGAGGAAGUCUCUGAGUUACGCACGUGAGUCAUAUAUAUUUGUGUUUAUGGUUUAGAUUUAUGGUGCAAGAGCCUUUUUAUUUAUGUCCACUGUCUCGUUCUGUACUACUUAGGUUUUAUGUUAAUUUUUCUUAUCAACAGUUUUCAUUAUGGGGCUUAGCUGUAUUGUGUGAGUUAUUAGACCGUCAUUCAUCUCUGUUUCUCUUUCUCACACACAAUGACACAGUCACACACAGCGAGCAGUGACUGAUGUGUGGAUGGAGUGUGUGGGGUGCUCAGGCUGCAGAGGUGGGGUGGUGUUGGCAGUAUGUUAAAUGAUGUGGGUCUCCAGGCCAGCCCAGCUCUGCACUGUUUUCUGUUAGCAACAUCCUGGAGCAGACUAUUUUCUGCUUUGAGAUUAAGUGUAUUGUCCCAGUAGCGGAAAAUAAAACCUUACAUUUGCCAUAUGUGCCAAGUGUCACAAUAAUAAAUAAAAAGAAAAUUGGUUGACAAAUUGGUCACAGUAUUGUAGUAUUAGUAUCAGUAUGUUACUUGGAGUACUACUGUUCUAAGUAGUACUCACAUUUUCUUUGGAGACUCUUCUCACUGGAAAACCAGCAUCAUUGGUUAUUUGUUUAAACGGUUUAAGAUGUUUGGGGGGGGGGGUCCCUAUUUUGUAAUUUUUGCAGACAGGACAGUUGACAUUUACGAAAUUGCAAGUGGUCACUUGUCAGGAAAAUGUAAAAUUGGGUCGUUUAAGCCAAACUGUAUUUGAGUUCUUAAAUAGCUGUGGGAAGUCUGUAAGAGGAAAUUAGGGUUUGACACCAGGGUUUAUGUCCCAUCCUUUACCAAUAGUCAAUGUUUCUUUUAACAAAGCAUUAGCAUGAUCUGUCACUAACCUUAACCAAGUCAUUUUAUUUGUCUAAACUUGCUGCUGCAGUGUCUUCAUCUUACCACUGGGGGUGCCAGAUCAGUAAAAUACUCAUAUUAGUCUGUGUUUUUUUUUCUUGUUUGUUACUACUUGGGGCAGGCAAUAUCACUAAAUUUGAUUCUGAUCCAAUACUGAGUAAUACCAAGCCCAGAAUCACCAAUAUUGACACCAAUACUGAUUAUAAGCGGCUAAUGUGCUAUAAUAUAGGGGAGAACCAUGUGUCAUGAUUUAUGAAGUGAAAGCAUCAUUAAUGGGCUACUUAUAAAUACAUUUCACAUUCACAUUUACUACUGAGUGAUCUGCCAAUUAGGCAUUUCUUCUUACUAUUCUCUAUUAAUUACUUAAUCCCAUGCAUGCUAAAACAAAUGCAGUUUUAAUAGUAAUCAAUAUGGUAAUUUAUUGUGUGAAUUCUCUGAACUAACAAGGUGAUUGCUGUGUGCAUGCACACAACAGGCAGAGAAGCAUAGCGUGCAGCACUAACUGAAAAACAUGAUCUAACCUGAGACAGAUCAACUUUUUUUGGUAACGAUCCUAUGAACGCUAGUCUUGAAACUAGUAACAAGACUUAGUAGUGUUAUCGAUACAUUUUAGGUAUCGAUCCGCCUGCCUCUACUUACUAUCUGCAACCUGCAGUGUGCUGUUUUUAGCUGGUUAGCUCUUCUCUCCUCCCAUAGCAGCAGGUUAAAUUAAUUUUACAAGAGACGAGUGUAGCCGGAGAGAAGUUUGUCCACUUUAAUAAUUAUAAUGAAUGAACCAGUCGUCCAAGAGAGAAACAGGGAGAAGUUUAAGGAGCUUUAACCCUGGCUGGAGGGGUUGAAUUAGGGCCUGAGAAAAAGCAUCUUCCCGCCAUGUCAUCUGGCUCAGUAGUUAUCUCCCAGUCAGUUAUAUGGGCUUCAGCAUAUUGAACAGCAAAUAUGAACACACGCUCACUUGGAUCCACUGACAGGCACACACAUGAGCAAGCAAACACUCACAUACACAAACAUGCACACACGUACACACAGUAAGUAAACAAACAAACACUAUUUUUCACACUGUCACACUCGCAUGGACACAGUCAUGCGCUGAAGAGAUAAUGGUGGCCAGAGGCAGUCUUGGUGCUCCCUCUCUCUCUCUCUCUCUCUCUCUCUCUCUCUCUCUCUCUCUCCCUCAAUGUCUCUGAGGCAGAAAGUGUGCUCCGGUCCUCACUGUCUGUUAGAUUUGAUCACCAUCACCCAGCUGCAACGGACAGCGCACAGCUCAGCUGAUGGCUCAUUGGCACACACAUGCACACACACACACACAGCUGCUGUGCCAGAGGAUAUUACAUGCAGUGUCUGACACCUCUAAAUAACUGUUUACUGUGUGUGUGUGUGUGUGUGUGUGUGUGCUUGCCUUUGCAUCUUAUUUGUCUGUAUGGUUGCCUCUCCAUCCAUAACCGUGUGUGUAUAACUGCUCUGCAUUUGAAUUGUGCUCAUCAUAUGUAUAAGCACGUGAAGUAUAAUUUUAGUGUGUAAUGAUUAAGCAAAAUAAUGUAAAUAAAAAAUGUGAAUGAAA
Siniperca chuatsi (mandarin fish) is the source of this 6225-nucleotide long non-coding RNA. RefSeq lists it as uncharacterized. The record is from RefSeq and is a predicted model, not a curated record. The transcript has 2 exons. NCBI's taxonomy places the organism in Eukaryota, Metazoa, Chordata, Actinopteri, Centrarchiformes, Sinipercidae.